CUCUGUGUGGGCUGAGUAACUUCACAUCCAGUAUACACACUCAUUUGCUCGUGUAUGUAACAAUUCUGCAACAGCCAUCCCACAAUGCCUCAUGCCAGCCUCUUGGCCGGGGGUUUCAGCUAUGCUGGCUGAGGCUGAGCAUAAGCUUCCAUUAGAACACUUCACUGAAAAGUGCAUUUCUGCCAGUUCAGGUUUUAAAGAGGAACAAACGCUACAGUCCCAUUAUAUUGGUAGAUCAAGUAGCUGUGAGGAAAGAGUGACCAGGCCACAUACUGGGAAGCUCUGUGAAAGAAAUGCUUACAGUCCGUUAUUCAAGGACUUCCAGGUGGAAUGGGCAGGAUGAGAGGCAGUGCCACUACGGAUACUGGAGUGACUCCAUGGAACAAGAAGUAUUUCAGUAAAUGCUGGACUUAGUGAAGCCUGGUUUCUUGUAUGCACUGGUUGAGUAGCUGUUUAACUGAAUCAUGCUGAGCAUUCAGCUCAGCCAUUAUCAGACACCAGAAAAUGAGAGAAAAAUACUGGAAAUGUAUUUGCUGUGGGAAAAGAUUCAGUUGAACCUUGUAUUGUCUGAGAUGCUGGAAAACCUAACAGGAGAAUCCUUGGCUCACAAAUACUUGGAUAAAGAGAGUGUGAUCUUUUGUAAGCUUUUUCUCCUCAAGAAGUCAGGCAAAAAAAUCUGGAGCAACUGUUGAGACUGGCUCCUUCUGUAGGGAGCCUCAUGUCAUUCUUUCAAGGAGGGCAAACACUGCGCCAUUGCAACUACGCAAGAUAGGUGUUUCUAAGCUCCAUAGAGAACAGGUGAAAGAAAAGGAAAAGAACCUCCUAACAAGGAAGGGGAAGGUCUAGGUAGAUGUAAUUCACAUGUUAAGUUAUUUAAGCUCUACCAAAAGAGGCAGAGUUGAUUUUGCAAACAAAGUGAAGAUAAGUCUGGUAGAUGGCAUUUUCCUUCCUCAUGCAGCAUAUUCCUUUUGUACUUUACCUUCUACCAAACCAGGUUUGAAAAUAACUCUCUGCAUUGCUCAUGCAUAUACAACAAAUAAUAUAGGGGUGGAAGUGCUGUUUAUUUUGCAGACACUCUGGGAUUCUCUUUUUUUUUUUUUUUUAAGCUUUCGAUUAAUUCAGGUUCACAGAAGAAUUGUCACAUCAUGGAGCAAAAGAAGCAGGCAAACAUUACCCUACCAAGACUGCAGUUACCUGCCUGAUUAAUCAUGAAGUUACCAUCCUGUCUAUAAACUCAACUUAAUGACCUUACUCAGCAAAGAAUUUGAACAAGACACAGAGGUCUGCAGUGAACGCUGCAUGCUUAUGGAGCAAGAACCAGGCAUAAGUCUAAGACAAACUAUGGUGACUGCAGCACUGCCAUGCAUUAUGCCAUUUUAAAUAACACAAUAGUUUGACUGCUUCUGGAGAUGCUGUGCUCUGAGCUAGCAGUGAAUCUCUGUAGGCACAGACAUAACAGAAGAGCAACUCUAUUCUCUUGUGCCUUUUUAGUCCUGUGUUUCAAACUAGUGAAUGAGACCAUUUAAGGAAGUCUAAGCAAAGUUUCAGACCAAGACAGGUCAUUUUCAAGACCUUACAGGCAACUGGUAGCAGGAGAGUAUGCAAUCCUCACAUCUCCAAAUCAGCUUUCUAAAUGGAACUUCUGAAACUCUAAAUGUUAGAUACCAAAGCCUCUAAAAUAAUUUUUGUGUUCCUGUGGGGUAAAACAUACUGUGUAAAUAAAAAUGUCAUUUAAAAGAAAUUGGUUUCUUUGUAGAUCCUUAUUACACUCACACACCUCACAGUUUAAUUUCAAAGAAACCCCUCUAAGCUAAUUUUUGAGAAUGUAUGUUUAUCUUUACUUUUUGGCUUUAAAAAACAUUCUCUUAAUCCAAAGUAGUAAAAAUGAGUUACUGAAACUGCAGCUUCUCAUCAGGUGUUUACUAAUGCAAACAUAAAUAAUCCAUUCUCACAACACCUUACAAUUCUGUUCUUGUAGAAAAACUGUAAAUUAUUUCUCACUGUUUUGUGCAUUGACUAGUACUUGACAGCACUAAAAACGUAUUUCAGUGAAUGCCCAGUUUAAAGAACUUGGAGAACUCAUCUCAUGUGAAAGAAAUACACUGUUUCCUUAUCUUGAGAGUUCAUUUAAUCUUUUCAAAAAGGAAAACAAAAAUAAUGAAUUAUUAUUUUAUUUUCUGUUCUACCAUGUGGGAAACUUGCCUGAAAUUGGGUAACUCUGUUGUGUUUAGUGGCACAUAAGCACCAUCUUCUGGAAAAAAACUAGUAUUUCUCAGUGAUUAUAGGCAUAGAGGACAUCCGAUUUGCUUACUACUGAAAGUCUGCAUUUGAAUUUAUUACUCUGUGAUAUUGUCAGGUUUUAUACUUCAGCAAGAUGAAUAGCUUAAAUACCUCAAUAUUAUUAAUCAUAGUUUAGUAACUAUUGGCUAAUUACCUUAACUCACAAAGUAAUAAUAGCACUAUUUUAAUGCCAGUAAGCCUCAUUAAUAGACCAGGAGUCCUCUGCAUGAAUUUUUGUUAAAAAUCUAACAAUAUAAAACAAGUGACAGUAGUCACUAUCACACAAGAGGACAUUGAGAUACUGUUGGUCUGUAUGAUGAGCAAAGUACAAACUGAAUUACCAUGUUUUUUUAGAUAGCCUAGUGAAGACUGGUUUAGAGUGUGAUUUAUAAGCAUCAGGGAUAUUUCAGGAGAAGGUAGUUGAUGGAAUACUGAAGCAGUAUCUCAGUAAAAACAGGAAAGCUUAGAUAGAGCUGUGGGCCCAAAAGAGUCUUGGAGAAGGAUAAAGAGUACAAUGGCUUGUAUUUUCUAGAGAAGAAGAAAAAAUGUCAAUGAAAAACUGCCCAGAAGAUUGUUUCUGGUUCAAAAUAACAAGCUGAAAAAAGUUUUCUUCUUCAUACAUAUGAGCAGGACAACAUAUCAUCUGUCAAAGAUCCUCUCAUGAAAGAAUUUAGAUAAAUUGAAGCAAUGGAAUAAAAAGCUUUUAAAAAGUGUUGAAAUAAAAUCAAACUCCUGAAAAAACAAAAUAGAAAAAAAUGCACCUAACAGUUACACAUAAAGAAGACAUUUAGAAAACAAGUAUGCAUAUGUAUCUCUAAACUUUCUACAUAUGUGAAUUUCUCUGGUUACAAGAAAC
This is a long non-coding RNA of Pezoporus flaviventris, 3136 nucleotides long. RefSeq lists it as uncharacterized. The record is from RefSeq and is a predicted model, not a curated record. The transcript has 2 exons. NCBI's taxonomy places the organism in Eukaryota, Metazoa, Chordata, Aves, Psittaciformes, Psittacidae.